Long non-coding RNA from Haliotis rufescens (red abalone), 588 nucleotides. RefSeq lists it as uncharacterized. The record is from RefSeq and is a predicted model, not a curated record. The transcript is spliced from 3 exons. NCBI's taxonomy places the organism in Eukaryota, Metazoa, Mollusca, Gastropoda, Lepetellida, Haliotidae.
AAAAUGGCGGCCAGGAAGCGUUUUUAUGAAUGAUAACCACAAUGUUUGCUGUUUUAUAAGCAAAAUAUGAUAUGUCAAGGGAUGCCUUAUCAGCCCGUGGAUACAUAAGCUGAGGACCACUGCCACCAGCUGUUGGUCACACCAUCACCACCACCCACAACAGAGAACUGGGCACAGAGUACACAGUCACAAAUGUAGUGUCUUUAGGCUAAGCCAGGAGAGACACCAUCACCACCACCCACAACAGAGAACUGGGCACAGAGUACACAGUCGCUAAUGUAGUGUCUGGAGGCUAAGCCAGGAGAGACACCAUCACCACCACCCACAACAGAGAACUGGGCACAGAGUACACAGUCACUAAUGUAGUGUCUGGAGGCUAAGCCAGGAGAGACACCAUCACCACCACCCACAACAGAGAACUGGGCACAGAGUACACAGUCACUAAUGUAGUGUCUGGAGGCUAAGCCAGGAGAGACACACAAACACACCCAGACACAUCGAUGUUCCGGUCUGCCUGGUGUCCACGGCCACGCCAAGCCAGGGCAAUGGUUGGGUUCGUCUGUUAGAGUCUUAGGGUCAGGGAACCAG